CACCGCGGUUAUACGAGAGGCCCAAGUUGACAACAAUCGGCGUAGAGAGUGGUUAAUAAGUUUUUUACUAAAGCCAAACACCUUCUAGACUGUUAUACGUUACCGAAAAAAGGAAGUCCAACCACGAAAGUAGCUUUAUGUCUAUGACCCCACGAAAGCUAGGGAA
This 166-nucleotide ribosomal RNA is filed under the name Barbuligobius boehlkei (cryptic bearded goby). RNAcentral describes it as "partial 12S rRNA". Lineage: Eukaryota; Metazoa; Chordata; Actinopteri; Gobiiformes; Gobiidae. The record is from RNAcentral.